CUUAGACAAGGUCAGCCUGAGCCUGCUUUGGGCAUACCCUGGGGAAGAUAUGGAUUCCUGCAAUGUUUUGGACUGUGAGUACAUCAGGAUGAAGAGUCUGUGUUGGUGUUUGUGGUGUACAGGCUUCUGAUUCAGGCUCCCCUUGAAUACAUUAAGGCCACUAUAAAGUUUCCUAGAGCUUUCUCCAAGAUGAAUCACACCAACCCUCCCAGCUUCUUUUCAUUAAAGAAGAGGUGCUCCAGCCUUCUGAUCACCCUCCUGGCCCUCCUCUGGACUCACUCUAACAGCUACUGACCAGUUCAUGUUCAGAGCAGCUUUCAAAGGUACAGAAAUCCUGUUUGUGUCAAUUUAUGAAUGAAAAAUCAACUUUCGGUUUGCAAUUUUCUUCCAAAGGUCCCAUCAGCUUGUAUUUGUGAAUUAGCAACUACAUAGUGAGAUGUACUAAUGGAAGAUGGGUUAAGAGUGUGGUGUCCCUCCUUGUAUCAGAUGUCAUGGAAGCAGCUGGUGUGUAUGCAGGAAGAUGAACCAGUCAUAAAAGACUUCUUAUAAUUUAUUUUCCCAGACAACCAGAGAAUCAGAGUUUUCAAAUAAAAAU
Molecule: long non-coding RNA, 595 nt
Filed under: Gallus gallus (chicken)
Lineage: Eukaryota; Metazoa; Chordata; Aves; Galliformes; Phasianidae
Description: lncRNA (ENSGALG00010010318.1)
Source: RNAcentral